GGGAACCCCGUUGAAGGAGGGACAGACCAAGAGGACAGAGAGGUCGGGAAUUUCAGCGAUUUGAUUUUUUUUUUUUUGGGGGACGUAGGAGGUCGAGGAAAGCCCAGAGUUUUCAGAGCGUUGGAGAUGAAUGGUUCGUUUUAUUCGGAAAAUAAAGACCGUUCUGGAAGGGGAGUUUUUUCAGGCCCACUCUUUUGAUUUCCGCUAACUUUUUGCACAGAAGGGAGCCAGUUUAAGUUUUUGCACCAAAAAGGGGCAGGGCACGAAGGGAAAAAAAUUAGUUCGUAAAUUGACAGUUUUUUUUUAACUAGUAUCGUAGAGAUUGCAAA
RNAcentral lists this non-coding RNA (329 nucleotides) under Leptomonas seymouri. Lineage: Eukaryota; Euglenozoa; Kinetoplastea; Trypanosomatida; Trypanosomatidae. The record is from RNAcentral.